GAUGAAGAACGCAGCGAAAUGCGAUAAGUAAUGUGAAUUGCAGAAUUCAGUGAAUCAGCGAAUCUUUGAACGCACAUUGCGCCCGCCAGUAUUCUGGCGGGCAUGCCUGUCUGAGCGUCAUUUCAACCCUCAUGCCCCUAGGGCGUGGUGUUGGGGAUCGGCCAAAGCCCGCGAGGGACGGCCGGCCCCUAAAUCUAGUGGCGGACCCGUCGUGGCCUCCUCUGCGAAGUAGUGAUAUUCCGCAUCGGAGAGCGACGAGCCCCUGCCGUUAAACCCCCAACUUUCCAAGGUUGACCUCAGAUCAGGUAGGAAUACCCGCUGAACUUAAGCAUAUCAAUAAGCGGAGGA
Molecule: unclassified non-coding RNA, 348 nt
Filed under: soil metagenome
Description: partial contains 5.8S ribosomal RNA, internal transcribed spacer 2, and large subunit ribosomal RNA
Rfam family: 5.8S ribosomal RNA (bases 1-120)
Source: RNAcentral